AACGCACAUUGCGCCCGUUAGUAUUCUAGCGGGCAUGCCUGUUCGAGCGUCAUUUCAACCCUUAAGCCCCUGUUGCUUAGCGUUGGGAGCCUACGGAGUACCCCUCCGUAGCUCCCCAAAGUCAGUGGCGGGGUCGGCCUCACGCCCUAGACGUAGUAGUUUCUAUCUCGCCUAUGGAUGAGCCGGUCCCCUGCCGUAAAACCCCCCAAUUUCUAAAGGUUGACCUCGGAUCAGGUAGGAAUACCCGCUGAACUUAA
Molecule: unclassified non-coding RNA, 257 nt
Filed under: uncultured Xylariales
Lineage: Eukaryota; Fungi; Ascomycota; Sordariomycetes; Xylariales
Description: sequence contains 5.8S rRNA gene, ITS2, 28S rRNA gene
Source: RNAcentral